Molecule: ribosomal RNA, 2905 nt
Filed under: Escherichia coli
Lineage: Bacteria; Pseudomonadati; Pseudomonadota; Gammaproteobacteria; Enterobacterales; Enterobacteriaceae
Description: 23S ribosomal RNA
Rfam family: Bacterial large subunit ribosomal RNA
Source: RNAcentral
GGUUAAGCGACUAAGCGUACACGGUGGAUGCCCUGGCAGUCAGAGGCGAUGAAGGACGUGCUAAUCUGCGAUAAGCGUCGGUAAGGUGAUAUGAACCGUUAUAACCGGCGAUUUCCGAAUGGGGAAACCCAGUGUGAUUCGUCACACUAUCAUUAACUGAAUCCAUAGGUUAAUGAGGCGAACCGGGGGAACUGAAACAUCUAAGUACCCCGAGGAAAAGAAAUCAACCGAGAUUCCCCCAGUAGCGGCGAGCGAACGGGGAGGAGCCCAGAGCCUGAAUCAGUGUGUGUGUUAGUGGAAGCGUCUGGAAAGGCGCGCGAUACAGGGUGACAGCCCCGUACACAAAAAUGCACAUGCUGUGAGCUCGAUGAGUAGGGCGGGACACGUGGUAUCCUGUCUGAAUAUGGGGGGACCAUCCUCCAAGGCUAAAUACUCCUGACUGACCGAUAGUGAACCAGUACCGUGAGGGAAAGGCGAAAAGAACCCCGGCGAGGGGAGUGAAAAAGAACCUGAAACCGUGUACGUACAAGCAGUGGGAGCACAGAGCAAUCUGUGUGACUGCGUACCUUUUGUAUAAUGGGUCAGCGACUUAUAUUCUGUAGCAAGGUUAACCGAAUAGGGGAGCCGAAGGGAAACCGAGUCUUAACCGGGCGUUAAGUUGCAGGGUAUAGACCCGAAACCCGGUGAUCUAGCCAUGGGCAGGUUGAAGGUUGGGUAACACUAACUGGAGGACCGAACCGACUAAUGUUGAAAAAUUAGCGGAUGACUUGUGGCUGGGGGUGAAAGGCCAAUCAAACCGGGAGAUAGCUGGUUCUCCCCGAAAGCUAUUUAGGUAGCGCCUCGUGAAUUCAUCUCCGGGGGUAGAGCACUGUUUCGGCAAGGGGGUCAUCCCGACUUACCAACCCGAUGCAAACUGCGAAUACCGGAGAAUGUUAUCACGGGAGACACACGGCGGGUGCUAACGUCCGUCGUGAAGAGGGAAACAACCCAGACCGCCAGCUAAGGUCCCAAAGUCAUGGUUAAGUGGGAAACGAUGUGGGAAGGCCCAGACAGCCAGGAUGUUGGCUUAGAAGCAGCCAUCAUUUAAAGAAAGCGUAAUAGCUCACUGGUCGAGUCGGCCUGCGCGGAAGAUGUAACGGGGCUAAACCAUGCACCGAAGCUGCGGCAGCGACACUGUGUGUUGUUGGGUAGGGGAGCGUUCUGUAAGCCUGUGAAGGUGUGCUGUGAGGCAUGCUGGAGGUAUCAGAAGUGCGAAUGCUGACAUAAGUAACGAUAAAGCGGGUGAAAAGCCCGCUCGCCGGAAGACCAAGGGUUCCUGUCCAACGUUAAUCGGGGCAGGGUGAGUCGACCCCUAAGGCGAGGCCGAAAGGCGUAGUCGAUGGGAAACAGGUUAAUAUUCCUGUACUUGGUGUUACUGCGAAGGGGGGACGGAGAAGGCUAUGUUGGCCGGGCGACGGUUGUCCCGGUUUAAGCGUGUAGGCUGGUUUUCCAGGCAAAUCCGGAAAAUCAAGGCUGAGGCGUGAUGACGAGGCACUACGGUGCUGAAGCAACAAAUGCCCUGCUUCCAGGAAAAGCCUCUAAGCAUCAGGUAACAUCAAAUCGUACCCCAAACCGACACAGGUGGUCAGGUAGAGAAUACCAAGGCGCUUGAGAGAACUCGGGUGAAGGAACUAGGCAAAAUGGUGCCGUAACUUCGGGAGAAGGCACGCUGAUAUGUAGGUGAAGUCCCUCGCGGAUGGAGCUGAAAUCAGUCGAAGAUACCAGCUGGCUGCAACUGUUUAUUAAAAACACAGCACUGUGCAAACACGAAAGUGGACGUAUACGGUGUGACGCCUGCCCGGUGCCGGAAGGUUAAUUGAUGGGGUCAGCGCAAGCGAAGCUCUUGAUCGAAGCCCCGGUAAACGGCGGCCGUAACUAUAACGGUCCUAAGGUAGCGAAAUUCCUUGUCGGGUAAGUUCCGACCUGCACGAAUGGCGUAAUGAUGGCCAGGCUGUCUCCACCCGAGACUCAGUGAAAUUGAACUCGCUGUGAAGAUGCAGUGUACCCGCGGCAAGACGGAAAGACCCCGUGAACCUUUACUAUAGCUUGACACUGAACAUUGAGCCUUGAUGUGUAGGAUAGGUGGGAGGCUUUGAAGUGUGGACGCCAGUCUGCAUGGAGCCGACCUUGAAAUACCACCCUUUAAUGUUUGAUGUUCUAACGUGGACCCGUGAUCCGGGUUGCGGACAGUGUCUGGUGGGUAGUUUGACUGGGGCGGUCUCCUCCUAAAGAGUAACGGAGGAGCACGAAGGUUGGCUAAUCCUCGGUCGGACAUCAGGAGGUUAGUGCAAUGGCAUAAGCCAGCUUGACUGCGAGCGUGACGGCGCGAGCAGGUGCGAAAGCAGGUCAUAGUGAUCCGGUGGUUCUGAAUGGAAGGGCCAUCGCUCAACGGAUAAAAGGUACUCCGGGGAUAACAGGCUGAUACCGCCCAAGAGUUCAUAUCGACGGCGGUGUUUGGCACCUCGAUGUCGGCUCAUCACAUCCUGGGGCUGAAGUAGGUCCCAAGGGUAUGGCUGUUCGCCAUUUAAAGUGGUACGCGAGCUGGGUUUAGAACGUCGUGAGACAGUUCGGUCCCUAUCUGCCGUGGGCGCUGGAGAACUGAGGGGGCUGCUCCUAGUACGAGAGGACCGGAGUGGACGCAUCACUGGUGUUCGGGUUGUCAUGCCAAUGGCACUGCCCGGUAGCUAAAUGCGGAAGAGAUAAGUGCUGAAAGCAUCUAAGCACGAAACUUGCCCCGAGAUGAGUUCUCCCUGACCCUUUAAGGGUCCUGAAGGAACGUUGAAGACGACGACGUUGAUAGGCCGGGUGUGUAAGCGCAGCGAUGCGUUGAGCUAACCGGUACUAAUGAACCGUGAGGCUUAACCUU